This 6293-nucleotide long non-coding RNA is filed under the name Trifolium pratense (red clover). Its description in RNAcentral is "long non-coding RNA (TPRA_LNC011796)". The record is from RNAcentral. Lineage: Eukaryota; Viridiplantae; Streptophyta; Magnoliopsida; Fabales; Fabaceae.
UCUACCUUUUUCAGUUACUAAAUCCAAGACUUACAUUUAUAAUUAUCAACACAAAUAUAGUGCUAUCUGAUUCUUAUACCAACACCAACCAAAUUUUAUCAGAUUUCACAAUAGAUUUCCAGUAAAAAAGACUAACAGAUACAACCUCAUGGCCAUAAUGCCAUAUAUACCAAAUAGAUAUUAUAAGAAACAGUUUAGACUCCAAAGAGUUGGUUUCUUUGUACUUUGCUUCAGUUGAUUCGUGUCUUCCUUAGAGAAUUCCUUUGAAACCCUUAUCAGUAGGCUAAUCAAACACAAGGACGCAAUGCCUUCUGCAUUUGCAAAAUCAGUUCAUAUUUUAGUUGCAAAAUUGCAUUUAGGGACUAGUGUCAUUAAAGCAAAAUAGAUAAUAUCAAUGCCAUAUAUUAUGAAUGAAAUUUUAUAUUUAAAUUGCAUUUAAGGCAACAACGAGCUUUCACAUUAAGGCAUCAUCCAACAUUUUGAGCCACCAAGACAAUCUAUUACAAAAAUCAAGGAACAAAGUAUAUCCAUCGAAUUUGAGUUAGACAUCUCAUGUAUACCAUACCACUAGUGACAGUUUCACAAUUAGGGUCACAAAAAGACAAUAAACACCAACCACGUUUUGAAUAAAAUUCCAUAUUAAAAUUGCUUUGCUUUGAAAGCCUCCAUCCAACUUUUCCAUUAUGAAUAGAGAAUUCAUAAUUCAUUUUCCAUGAAGGGACAAGGGUCAUUAAGGUCAGCCAACAUUUUACUUUAUAGUCAUCGAGACAUCUAUGAUCUAUCCGUUAAAAUUUUUAUAAAACAUAGUAUAUUCAUCGACUCCAUAGUAUCGCAUCCAUCUGUUACUCUAUAGUCAUUGGGGUAACAACUAUCUUUCACAUUAAGGCAUCAGUCAACAUUAGGGACAAGGGUCAUUAAGUUCAUAAUGCAAAAUUACUUCUAGUUGCAGUUGCAGAAUUGAAUUUAGGGACUAAGGGUCAUCAAAACAGAAUACAUAUCCAUUCAUGCAUUAUUAUAAAUAAAAAUUCAUAAUUUUUUUAAUAGAAAAGCGGACACCGAUAGAGACAAUUGCUUGAGUAGCAAUUAAAGCAACAACUAGCUUUCAUAUUCAGGGACUAGGGUCAAUAAGUUCAUCCAACAUUUUACUCUAUGGUAAUUGAGGCAUCUAUGAUCCAUCCGUUACAAAAUUUAUAAGACAAAGUAUAUUCAUCGAUUCCAACUUUCACAUUCCCUGGCAAAACUUAUGAAACAUUAGGGAUAUUAAGUUCAUACUGCAAAAUCACUUCUAAUUGCAUUUGCAGAAUUGAAUUCGUGAGUAUCUGAAUCUCCAAAAUGGAAGCCACAAAUAAAUCAGACUACACAGUUAUUUAAUUCUUAAUUGAUGUUCGAAUUAUAGGUAGGAGAUAUUAUGAGAGAUUUAGGCAUUUUGAUUCUCCAAUGAUAUAUAAAACAACAUAACUCAGCUAGACUCUAAAUCCUGGAAACUGCACCAAGUUUGAAAUAAGUCACUAAGUUUUCAUUCUCAGGAAGACGGUGUAGAAAAGAAACUGAUUUAGUGCGGUCCAAACAGUAAUUAUCAUAGAUUUUACCAAGUUUUCAAAAAAAAAAACUUAGAUUUUGCACAAUUUCAUGGAUGGAUUAUUGUAUACAAUGAUUACCAGACUACUAACUUGCUAAACUGAUUAUUAUCAGAACUACAGAAUGAUGCCUAUAUUUAAUGUGCCGAGUCAGCACUUGCAUCGGUUGGUGAGUUGAGUAACAGAAUAUCAAAUUUUGUUACAGAGUUUAAUUCAGGACUUAACUCUCAAGUAACUAACUGGUUCUGUAAUCAGUUAGAUUACUCUCCAGAAACAGGGAUUUGAGUAAAUAAUUAGAAACAUAGGAACCUGGAAGAAACCUUCCAAAUAUAAAGAUAAUAAUUUCCCAUUGACUCUAAUAUCACUCCAAAUUUUCAGAAACAGGGAUUUGAGUAAAAUAAUUAGAAACAUAGGAACAUGUGGGAUGGUCCACGGUUUGGUUUUGUUGUUGUAUAUCAGUUAUUUGCAAAGCCAACUUUAUCAAUUCCGCAAUAGGUUAAUGUCAAAUGAUCCUCAAUUAAGCAAAUAACCCUGUAGAAGUUAUGGGCUGAGAGGUUAAUAAUAACUUAAUAAGCAAAUGUUAAUAUACUCAUCAUAGUUCUUACGUAGAAAAUUAUGCCAUUCUAAGCUCAAAAGUAAAGUGUUUAUAAUAACAUCGCAACAAGGAUAAAUUGCACAUAUAAACCUUAGUAAGAAGCCUCAAAUUGUAUACCUAAUAUUCAUAUUAUCCUGCACCGGAGAUAUUUCUGCAGAGGUUCCAUCACUACACUCCAGUUCAUCAGUAAAGAUUGUUGCAAUGGAAAGGACGAAUAAUGGUCUUGAUAGUACCUGGUAGCAGAGAGAGUAUUAACCAUCUGCUUCAUGUAUUGAGCUGAAUUUGGGAUAGUAGAAGGAGAAAAAACAGAAACAACUUGACAGAAAAGUAAGGGAGCUUGUUAAUCAAUUCCGUUCUCCACUACUUAACCUUUACAGGAAAAGGGUCUAGGAAAUAUCAUAUUGUAUAUCUUAUAAUAGCCAAAUAUGAAAUAAUACUGUAAGAAGAAGAAUCUCACUGGUCAAGGGAAUGUCACAAAUUCAAUAAAAAUGUAUGAUACAUAGAAGUAACCCACAUAAAACUUUCUGGAACAAAGAUUGACUAGAAGUACACAAAUACCAAUGAUAUAGCCAUUUUCUGGAAGUACACAAAUAACAAAGAUUGACUAGAAGUACACAAAUACUGAUGGUUAUCCUGACAUAACAUUUUUCUGCUUUGAAAUGUCCUGCUAUAUAAACAUAAAUAUGUAUUGAAACCAUAUUGAAUUGAUAAUCACAAACCUGCAUGCUUUUGACCAAACCCCUGAAGGCAACCCACCUCUGAAUCCAUUUAAAUUGUGGUAGGACAAGGAUUUGUAGACUCUGCAGACCUUGCCACACACAUGGGCAUCUACUAUUGGAGAACCUCCUUACAGUCUAUAAAGCAGCAACUUUAAGUAAAAAAAAAUUGGCAUGCCCCACAGCCUUGCUUCCAAAGUCACCAUCCCUCAAUGAAACAAGGGGUUCACAAUAUCUUUGUGCAAAGCCUAUAGGACGUGAUGCACUCAUACAUACCAGAUCGAUAUUAUAAGAAAUAGUUUAUACUCCAAAGAGUUCGUUUCUUUGUACUUUGUUCCUUAGAAUUCCUUUGAAACUCUUAUUAUAGUAGACUAAUCAAACACAAAGAAUUCACUCUACGGUCAUUGAGGCAUCCAUGAUCCAUCCGUAACAAAAUUUAAUCGAACUUAGGGACUAAGGGUCAUCAAAGCAGAAUAUAUACCCAUUCAUGCAUUAUUAUGAAUAAAAAUUCAUAAUUUUUUUAAUCGAAAAGCGGACAACGAUAGAGACAAUUGCUUGAGUAGCAAUUAAGGCAACAACUAUCUUUCACAUUCAGGGACUAGGGUCAUUAAGACCAUCGACAAUUCACUCUAUGGUCAUUGAGGCAUCCAUGAUCCAUCCGUAACAAAAUUUAAUCGAACUUAGGGACUAAGGGUCAUCAAAGCAGAAUAUAUACUCAUUCAUGCAUUAUUAUGAAUAAAAAUUCAUAAUUUUUUUAAUCGAAAAGCGGACAACGAUAGAAACAAUUGCUAGCAAUUAAGGCAACAACUACCUUUCACAUUCAGGGACUAAGGGUCAUUAAAUCCAUCCAACAUUUAAGAUUCUUUUGGGACAAAACAGAACACCUUUUGCAGAAUUAAGGUUGUUUUGUUUUUCUCAAGCAGAAGAUUGAAUGUUCUUGAAUGAUCAAGAAUGAGAAAAAUGGGUAAAGUUGUACCUCUUUUUCGAGCAAAAUCACUUCUGAUUGCAGUCGCAGAAUCGAAUUUAGGGACUAAGGGUCAUCAAAGCAGAAUAUAUACCCGUUCAUGCAUUAUUACGAAUAAAAAUUCAUAAUUUUUUAAUCGAAAAGCGGACACCGAUAGAGACAAUUGCUUGAGUAGCAAUUAAGGCAACAACUACCUUUCACAUUCAGGGACUAAGGGUCAUUAAAUCCAUCCAACAUUUUACUCUGUUAAUUGAGGCAUCUAUGAUCUAUCCGUUACAAAAUUUACAAAACAAAGUAUAUUCAUCGAUUCCAACCGUCAAAUUUAGGGUCACUAGGGCAAUAUACUCCACCCUUUUUUCAGAUAAUGAAUAAAGAUUCCGUCACACAAUGAUUCACAUUCUUAUAGGGUUUUUAUACCCUUUAAAAUUGGAAACCCACCAUCGUUCCUAACAAGUAUCGAUUAUAAACCGAGUUAAACUCAGCUUAAUGUGACAAACAAAAAACUGUCUUUUAAGAUUCUUUUGGGACAGAACAGAACACCUUUUGCAGAAUUAGGGUUCUUUUGUUUUUCUCAAGCAGAAGAUUGAAUGAUCAAGAAUGAGAAUAAAUUGGGUAAAGUUUGUACCUUUUUUCAAGCAUAAAAUUGAAUGUUCAAACAGAAAGAACACCUUUGAUCAAUUAACGUUCUUUUGGCCAUUUUGCCAUGGCUGACCAAGCUCCUCUUCAACUAGAGCCAUAGCCACAUCAUCUGCAAAUGAAGGAACCUUCACAUUUUAUGGAAUCCCCCCACACCCCCACCAAGAAAAAGGAACCUCAGAAAAAGAAUAAGCUUACAAUAUCAGAAAUGAAAAUGCAAUUGUGCAACUGCUAAUAAUUUCCAGUGUUUACUAAAACAUCAGACUACAAUUCUUGUAAGUAGGAAGAAUAAUGGUCUUGAUAGUACGUGGUAGCAGAGAGAGUAUUAAUUCUGGGAUGCAAAUAUAUUGAAAUGAAAGUUUCAAAAUUUACAGUAACAAACAAAAGGGUCAUGGGACAGAAAGAACACCUUUGCUCAAUUAACGUUCUUUUGUUUUGUUUUUAUGAAGCAAAAUCGAAUUAAGGGACUAAGGGUCAUCAAAGUAUAAUAUAUACCCAUUCAUUCAUGCAUUAUUAUGAAUAAAAAUUCUUAAUUUUUUCAAUCGAAAAGCGGACUCCGAUAGAGACAAUUGCUCGAGUAGCAAUUAAGGCAACAACUACCUUUCACAUUGAGGGACUAGGGUCAUUAAGACCAUCCAACAUUUCACUCUAUGGUCAUUGAGGCAGCCAUGAUCCAUCCGUUACAAAACUUACAAAACAAAGUAUAUUCAUCGAUUCCAACGAUCAAAUUUAGGGUCACUAGGGCAAUAUACUCCACCCCUUUUUUAGAUAAUGAAAAAGAUUCCGUCACACAAUGAUUCACAUUCUUAUAGGGUUUUUAUACCCUUUAAAAUUGGAAACCCGCCAUCAUUCCCAACAUGUAUCGAUUAUAAACCAGAUGGGGCAAAUAUGUUAGAAUGAAAAUUCCAAAAACAAGUGAAACUCAGCUUAUUGUGACAAACAAAAAACUGUCUUUUGAUAUAUACCCAUUCAUGCAGUUGCAGAAUCAAAUUUAGGGACUAAGGGUCAUCAAAGCAGAAUAUAUACCCAUUCAUGCAAUAUUACGAAUAAAAAUUCAUAAUUUUUUUUAAUCGAAAAGCGGACACCGAUAGAGACAAUUGCUUAUAUAGCAAUUAAGGCAACAACUACCUUUCACAUUCAGGGACUAAGGGUCAUUAAAUCCAUCCAACAUUUUACUCUAUGUUAAUUGAGGCAUCUAUGAUCCAACCGUCAAAUUUAGGGUCACUAGGGUAAUAUACUCCACCCCUUUUUCAGAUAAUGAAUAAAGAUUCCGUCACACAAUGAUUCACAUUCUUAUACGCCCUUUAAAAUUGGAAACCCACCAUCGUUCUCAACAUGUAUCGAUCAUAAAUCAGAAUGAAAAUUCCAAUAACAAGUAAAACUCAGCUUAUUGUGACAAACAAAAAACUGUCUUUUAAGAUUUUUUUGGGACAGAACAGAACACCUUUUGCAGAAUUAGGGUUCUUUUGUUUUUCUCAAGAAUGAGAAAAAAAAUGGGUAAAGUUUGUACCUUUUUUCAAGCAUAAAAUUGAAUGUUCAAACAGAAAGAACAAUUAAGGUUUCUUUUGUUUUGUUUUUAUGAAGCAGAAGAUUGAAUUUCGAAAAUGGGUAUCUGAAUGAAUCAACAUGUGGGGAGAAAGUUGAAAAAAUUACCGUAGCAAACAGAAGAGAUUAUCAGCAAAUUACCAUCGCAGGUUCUUGAAUCCUUGUGCGACACACCCAACACCAUUGAAUUCCACGUUGUGUGUUGUUCGUGUUUUCAUUCUUUUCUUGUUUCUUGAAGAAGAAAGAAAGAAUGAGUUUUU